UACGUUCCCGGGCCUUGUACACACCGCCCGUCACACCACGAAAGUCGGCAACACCCGAAGCCAGUGGCCCAACCCGUAAGGGGGGGAGCUGCGAAGGUGGGGUCGGUGAUUGGGGUG
Molecule: ribosomal RNA, 117 nt
Filed under: uncultured bacterium
Lineage: Bacteria
Description: partial 16S ribosomal RNA
Rfam family: Bacterial small subunit ribosomal RNA
Source: RNAcentral